This 1908-nucleotide ribosomal RNA is filed under the name human gut metagenome. Its description in RNAcentral is "bacterial LSU rRNA". It matches the Rfam family "Bacterial large subunit ribosomal RNA", at positions 1 to 1982 of the family's 2925-position model. The record is from RNAcentral.
UUAAACCGUUAUUCUAAUCUGACGACCGGUAAGGUCUACUGGAAUGUGCUAAAUAAAGAGCGCCGCGGCGAAUAUCUGGGCGAGACGGUACAGGUGAUUCCACAUAUCACAAAUGAGAUAAAAUCAUUUAUCUAUUCCGUGGAGGAAAAGACCGAUGCGGCCUAUGUGGGCGCAGGCUUUGAGGACGAAAUGCUGGUGAUGGCAAAUUUCCCGGCUGUGGGGUUGUAGGGCCGCCGGACGUGAUUCUGGAGUAGGCAGGAGAAGUCGGCUGGAAAGCCGCGCCGGAGCGAGUGAAAGCCUCGUAUCCGAAACCGAAAAGGACACAGGCGGUACCUGAGUACCGCGGGGCACGAGAAACCCCGUGGGAAUCCGGGAGGACCAUCUUCCAAGGCUAAGUACGAAUCAGCGACCGAUAGUGAACCAGUACCGUGAGGGAAAGGUGAAAAGAACCCCUGUCAGGGGAGUGAAAGAGAAUCUGAAACCUGUUGCUUACAAGCUGUGGGAGCCACAUAACGGUGGUGACCACGUGCCUUUUGCAUAAUGAGUCAGCGAGUUAAUCUGUCGUGCGAGGUUAAGCGAGAGCGGAGCCGUAGCGAAAGCGAGUCUGAUAAGGGCGACAAGUACGGCGGAUUAGACCCGAAACCGGGUGAUCUAUCCAUGAGCAGGUUGAAGCAAGGGUAAAGCCUUGUGGAGGACCGAACCAAUACCGGCUGAAAACGGUUUGGAUGACUUGUGGAUAGGGGUGAAAGGCCAAUCAAACCCGGUGAUAGCUGGUUCUCCCCGAAAUAUAUUGAGGUAUAGCCUCGGGGAUUGUCUGUCGGAGGUAAAGCACUGACAAGGCUAGGGGUCCUACCAGAUUACCAAACCUUUUCAAACUCAGAAUGCCGACAAGAUGUACCCCGGGAGUCAGACGGCGGGUGCUAAGGUCCGUCGUCGAGAGGGUAAGAGCCCAGAUCGACAGCUAAGGUCUCGAAAUCCAUGCUCAGUGGUGAAGGUGGUGGAGUUGUACAGACAGCCAGGACGUUGGCUUAGAAGCAGCCAUCGUUUAAAGAAAGCGUAAUAGCUCACUGGUCUAAUGACUCUGCGCCGAAAAUGUAACGGGGCUAAGCAUGGUACCGAAGCUUCGGAUUCCUCUUUUGAGGAGUGGUAGGGGAGCGUUCUCUAUGGGCAGAAGCUGCAUUGUAAAGUGCGGUGGACGGUAGAGAAGUGAUUAUGCUGACAUGAGUAACGAUAAAACAGGUGAAAAACCUGUUCGCCGAAAACCCAAGGUUUCCUGGGUAAAGUUAAUCUUCCCAGGGUGAGUCGGACCCUAAGGCGAGGGCGAAAGCCGUAGCUGAUGGAAAACGGGUUAAUAUUCCCGUACUUCUUAUGGUGUGCGAUGGAGGGACGCAGAAAGAUAGGUGGGCCAACUGUUGGAUGUUGGUGCAAGCUGGUAGGAAUGCCUCGCCGGCAAAUCCGCGAGGUGAAUCCGAGAAGCGAGUCCGUGGGCGCAAGCCCUGAAGCCAUUGAGUCUCCGCUGCCAAGAAAAGCUCCUAAGUUUAGCCAUGAGGACCCGUACUGCAAACCAACUCAGGUGGGUGGGAUGAAUAAUCCAAGGCGCUCGAGAGAACUCUGGCCAAGGAACUCGGCAAAAUGACCCCGUAACUUCGGAAGAAGGGGUGCUUUUUCAGGUGACCAUUUUUACAUUGGAAGCCAGAGGAAGCCGCAGUGAAUUGGUGGUGGCGACUGUUUACUAAAAACAUAGGUCUGUGCGAAGUCGCAAGACGACGUAUACGGACUGACGCCUGCCCGGUGCCGGAAGGUUAAAAGGAGAGGUCAGCGCAAGCGAAGCCUUGAAUUGAAGCCCCGGUAAACGGCGGCCGUAACUAUAACGGUCCUAAGGUAGCGAAAUUCCUUGUCGGGUAAGUU